UCGAUAUUUCCUUCGCUGGAAUCAUUUGACACUGAAGCCCUAGCUGUUCGAGCAGUUGGGGCUUCAACA
RNAcentral lists this non-coding RNA (69 nucleotides) under Salmonella phage SPN3UB. The record is from RNAcentral. Lineage: Duplodnaviria; Heunggongvirae; Uroviricota; Caudoviricetes. RNAcentral also lists the same sequence under 1 other name.